UGGGGAAUUUUGGACAAUGGGCGCAAGCCUGAUCCAGCAAUGCCGCGUGCAGGAUGAAGGCCUUCGGGUUGUAAACUGCUUUUGUACGGAACGAAACGGCUCUGGUUAAUACCUGGGGCUAAUGACGGUACCGUAAGAAUAAGCACCGGCUAACUACGUGCCAGCAGCCGCGGUAAUGCGUAGGGUGCGAGCGUUAAUCGGAAUUACUGGGCGUAAAGCGUGCGCAGGCGGUGAUGUAAGACAGAUGUGAAAUCCCCGGGCUCAACCUGGGAACUGCCUUUGUGACUGCAUAGCUAGAGUACGGUAGAGGGGGAUGGAAUUCCGCGUGUAGCAGUGAAAUGCGUAGAUAUGCGGAGGAACACCGAUGGCGAAGGCAAUCCCCUGGACCUGUACUGACGCACAUGCACGAAAGCGUGGGGAGCAAACA
Molecule: ribosomal RNA, 427 nt
Filed under: uncultured bacterium
Lineage: Bacteria
Description: bacterial SSU rRNA
Rfam family: Bacterial small subunit ribosomal RNA
Source: RNAcentral